Molecule: microRNA precursor, 78 nt
Filed under: Nomascus leucogenys (northern white-cheeked gibbon)
Lineage: Eukaryota; Metazoa; Chordata; Mammalia; Primates; Hylobatidae
Description: miRNA (ENSNLEG00000019895.2)
Source: RNAcentral
GUUGGUGCAAAAGUAACUGCGGUUUUUGCCAUUACUUUUAGUUACUUUUAAUGGAAAAAACCACAAUUACUUUUGCAC